GCUUGUCUCAAAGAUUAAGCCAUGCAUGUCUCAGUAUAAGCUUUUACACGGCGAAACUGCGAAUGGCUCAUUAAAACAGUUAUCGUUUCUUUGGUGGUUAUUGAUUACAUGGAUAACCGUGGUAAUUCUAGAGCUAAUACAUGCGCCCAGACCCAACUUUUAGGAAGGGUUGUAUUUAUUAGACUUAAGCCAAUAUUCCUUGUGUCUAUUGCGAUGAUUCAUAAUAACUGAUCGAAUCUCAAAUUUGAGAUAAAUCAUUCAAGUUUCUGCCCUAUCAGCUUUGGAUGGUAGGGUAUUGGCCUACCAUGGCUUUAACGGGUAACGGAGAAUUAGGGUUCGAUUCCGGAGAGGGAGCCUGAGAAACGGCUACCACAUCCAAGGAAGGCAGCAGG
RNAcentral lists this ribosomal RNA (392 nucleotides) under Pleuronema coronatum. Its description in RNAcentral is "partial small subunit ribosomal RNA". It matches the Rfam family "Eukaryotic small subunit ribosomal RNA", at positions 30 to 432 of the family's 1831-position model. The record is from RNAcentral. Lineage: Eukaryota; Ciliophora; Oligohymenophorea; Pleuronematida; Pleuronematidae.